UACGAGGGGGGCGAGCGUUGUUCGGAAUUACUGGGCGUAAAGCGCACGUAGGCGGCUUUGUAAGUUAGAGGUGAAAGCCCGGGGCUCAACUCCGGAAUUGCCUUUAAGACUGCAUCGCUAGAAUUGUGGAGAGGUAAGUGGAAUUCCGAGUGUAGAGGUGAAAUUCGUAGAUAUUCGGAAGAACACCAGUGGCGAAGGCGACUUACUGGACACAUAUUGACGCUGAGGUGCGAAAGCGUGGGGAGCAAACAGG
RNAcentral lists this ribosomal RNA (253 nucleotides) under uncultured bacterium. RNAcentral's name for it is "partial 16S ribosomal RNA". It matches the Rfam family "Bacterial small subunit ribosomal RNA", at positions 524 to 776 of the family's 1533-position model. The record is from RNAcentral.